Molecule: long non-coding RNA, 2884 nt
Filed under: Sus scrofa (pig)
Lineage: Eukaryota; Metazoa; Chordata; Mammalia; Artiodactyla; Suidae
Description: lncRNA (ENSSSCG00045012356.1)
Source: RNAcentral
UCUCUCUGUGCUUGUGUGGAAAGCAGAAGCCUGCUCUGGCAGAGGAAGGGUGGUGCCCGGGCACGGGUCAUGGGAAAUGAGUGGGCAGCAGACUGAGGGAACUGAAGAAAACAGACAGAAGCAACACCUCCACUGAAAUGCACUGGGAAGGUCCGCACUCUGGGACCCGCUCACAUGGACCGGAGGGUCCCCAGCACUGCACGGGAUGCUUGGAUACUAACUCAAGUUCAACUCACAAGGCAUUCAUUGAACGCCCAUCAGGAGGCAGGUCUGGGCGCUGAGCGCGGAGUCUAUUGCUACGAAGCAGGGCUGCCACCUGCAAUAGCUAGAGCUCUGUUGUCUUGCAGAGGUGAAGAGAGUGGACCCAAUUGUCUGCAAAGUCCGUCAUCUUUGCAGUGGUAACCUAAGAGGAAAAAAAUCUUAAAGAGACAGCUCUGCAAAUGUUGCCACUCCGCACCACCUCCAACCGCAGGCAGGGCAGAGGGAAAGGCCUGACUGCAUCAGGAGGCAGAGGACUGGAAGCUCCUGAGAGAGAGCAGCGUUUCACAAGUGACUCACAAGGUACAUGGCUUCAGACACAGGCGGAGGAAGGAGUAGCAACCUUUUCCUCCAUGUGCUGUACAGGGCGCAUCAGUAAUUGUUUUCGCCACAGUCUGCCCUUGCCUUGCUCGUCUAAGCUCAUCAUUGUUCUUUUAUGUUCCUCGAACUGUCACCCCCUUUGAGUUUUUUAGGACUCCAUACAUCCGGGGAAAAUGCCCUUCAAACCAGGAUCUUUCAGGAUAAAGAAAAUUGACUCAGAGAUGGGCAGGCCCUCAGAGCCUGUUGAUUCCAAAUUCCAUUGUUCGUUGCUCAAACCAAAGUGCUUUCUUCCAUCAAGGCACUUUUUAACUCUGGGUGGGACUUGAUCUUUCUUUGAAUAUGGUCAUUAUCAAGACCAUUCGCUCCAUCUUUCUUUCACUGAUCCUACCAAUACUUCUUGAGUCCCUAGCGUGUGUCAGGUUCAGUUCUGGACAUGGAGGGUUGGUGUUGAACAAGACACGAAAGCUGCCGGCCCUCAGGAGAUUACACCCCGGCACAGGGAGACAGACCAUGAUGUGAAAUCAAAUAAAUGAACUGUAGAGAAAAUAAAACAAGAGGAUGCAAUUCGAAAUGCCAGGCGAGCUGAAGAGAUUGGGUCUUCAGAGGAGGCUGCUUGAAGAGGUGCCAUUGAGCUGAGACACGGAUGAUGUGGAGUCAGCCACGUGGAGAUGGAGAGCGUUCCAGGUGGGGGCCCCACGAGUACAAACGCGACAAGGCAACGAUGAACACAGGAAGAAGUUAAGAGAGAUUAAGUAACAUGUCCACAGUCACCAGCAGUGGAUCUGGAUUCAAACCCAGGCAGUCUGACUCCUGCUUUCACCUGCCUUGGAACUUCAGCAGUAAACACUGUGAACCCUAGAAAGUCUCCAAUGAAGACAACCAGGCACACCCCUUCUUACACAGUCCUGGAAUUGGAAAUUACGGACUCUGGAAAUUCUGAUUUAAUUGUGGUUACAUUAUGUGUCUUCAUGGAUACGUGUAUAGUUAAAUCAUUGACACCCUUUCGGCUUAGGAAUAGCUUUAGCUUUGAGAGUUUCCCCGAGUGACUUGACUUCACCCUCUGAUGGGAGCAGACGAGCACUGCUGAAAUCUCAGCCAUUUUUAGUCCAGAGAGUCAGUGGUGACUGUCUCUCUCUGGGUAGCAGCAGGACCACAGUGCCUGCUUUGGAGUGGCCCCCAAGUGUCCCUGGGGUUCUCUAAGGACAGUACACACGCUCCACAAUCCCUGCUGGACAUCUGUCGGCUGGACAUCUGCUCUCUCCCUCAUCCGGCUCCCUGAGCUGAGACCUGUCUCCCUCCUCAGCCACCAGGACUUCAAGCCCAUGGAGGGGGGCUGGGCUCCCAGCAGUGAUCCACGGGGGGCGCAGAGGGGCUGACCUCACUACGAAAAGACCCAGACUCUCACCCCCUGAAAGUCCAUCUCCAAAGGAGAUAGUAGUUAUCCAAUUUAGAAGUACUUACCCUGAGUCUGAAACAGUUUCCUUUGGUUUACAGCACUCGCUUCUGGGUUGUCCCAGAAUAUUCUAUGUCUAAAAAUUAUGUGACAAUUGCGUGAUGAGAAAUAAGCAGGUGGGCUCCUCUGUGACUGACUUGCUCCUUUGAAGCUAGAAAAAAGGGUGACUCUCCCCAAAACCACUUUAAGUUCCCUCUUAACAGUCAUUCUGCUACAUUUACAAUAGAAAAGUUCAAAAAUACUGCUCAAUCAACAAACACUGGCAAAAUAAUUUAUGGUAUACCCUUACAAGAAAAUACUAGGCAACCAUUUUUUUAAAAUUCUCAUAGAAGAAUAUGUAAGGACACGGGGAGAUGUUUAUAACACAUCUGGAAAGUGUAAAAAAAUUACCAAAAAGUAAUAUGUCCUUUUAUACAUAUGUAUGGGCUUCUGUUCUUUUUUGUUCAUGUUUUAUAACGUGCAUUUUCUAAUAUUUUAUAAUGGAAAUGUUUUACUUUGUAAUAUGUAAAAAAAAGCAGUUUAAGUAUUUUUAAUUAAAAAGCAGCCUGAGCCUGUAUCGGAGCUGAAAGAAGAUUUAGAGCCCAGAGUCUGAGAUCCACACAGGUCUUGAUGGUCACAGAGCAGUGCUAGUCAAUAGGAAUAGAGAAGUAGGAGAUACAACAAAUAGGAGACAUCUGUGGCCUUUAGAAUUUUCCAGUAGCCACACUGAAGAAACAAAAAGUGGUGAAAUUAAUGCUGAUAAUUCGUUGUACCCAAUAUACCCCAAGUGCUAUCCCAUUGCAAUAUGUAAUCCAUGUGAAAAUAUUGAAACAUUGUGUAUUCUUUUUUACCCAGACUGAGAAACCCUUAUAG